AACGAACGCUGGCGGCAGGCUUAACACAUGCAAGUCGAACGCAUCCUUCGGGGUGAGUGGCAGACGGGUGAGUAACGCGUGGGAACGUGCCCUUCAGUUCGGGAUAACCCAGGGAAACUUGGGCUAAUACCGGAUACGUGCGAGAGCAGAAAGAUUUAUCGCUGAAGGAUCGGCCCGCGUCUGAUUAGCUAGUUGGUGGGGUAAUGGCCCACCAAGGCGACGAUCAGUAGCUGGUCUGAGAGGAUGAUCAGCCACAUUGGGACUGAGACACGGCCCAAACUCCUACGGGAGGCAGCUGUGGGGAAUAUUGGACAAUGGGCGCAAGCCUGAUCCAGCCAUGCCGCGUGAGUGAUGAAGGCCUUAGGGUUGUAAAGCUCUUUCGUCCGGGACGAUAAUGACGGUACCGGAAGAAGAAGCCCCGGCUCACUUCGUGCCAGCAGCCGCCGUAA
RNAcentral lists this ribosomal RNA (449 nucleotides) under uncultured bacterium. RNAcentral's name for it is "partial 16S ribosomal RNA". It matches the Rfam family "Bacterial small subunit ribosomal RNA", at positions 29 to 523 of the family's 1533-position model. The record is from RNAcentral.